UUUCCGUGGGUGAACCUGCGGAAGGAUCAUUAUUGAAAAAGACAAGACGCCCCGUUUUUUCGUAAAAUGGGUUCAAUACCCACAACCGUGUAUACCUUACCUUUUGUUGCUUUGGCAGGCCGCCUCCGGGCGUUGGCUUCGGCUGACAGCGCCUGCCAGAGGACCCAAACUCUGUGUUUAGUGAUGUCUGAGUAAUAUAUAAUAUUUUAAAACUUUCAACAACGGAUCUCUUGGUUCUG
Molecule: unclassified non-coding RNA, 239 nt
Filed under: plant metagenome
Description: partial contains small subunit ribosomal RNA, internal transcribed spacer 1, and 5.8S ribosomal RNA
Source: RNAcentral